AGGACGGACAUCAGAGGGCUGAUGCCAGAGGGCUGACGUCAGAGGGCGGACGUCCGAGGGCGGGAGGAUUUACAAGAUCGAAGUCUAGAGGAUGGUCCCAACUUGGCCGCCGGGGUGUCUCGAGAGUCAGACGGGGCCCUGCCCCCUUCGACUCGGGGCUCUGUCAUCUCAGCUGGCGGAUGGGCUCCAUGUUCGAGGUGCAGCUCUCGCGUCCCCCCCCCCCCAAACCAGCCAAUGGAAAGGGAGAAGGAAACAAGCAGAGGCCCGGACGCCGGACGACUGGGGGUUCACUGCACGCCCGUCUCCCCUGCUCCUGGGAAGACCCUAGGACUGCCCCUGAGCAAUGGAAACUGUGACUUGAACUUGCAUUUUGUUGCGUAGUAGAGAGGUGCCGUUUGCUGGGUCUCCCGCGUUCCUCACGCGUGCUGGCUAGCUCGGAUCGCCGCGUGUGCUGCGGAUUUCACUAGUCUGUUUGCUGCUGGUCUUCCAGAAGUUUCGGAUUUCCGUGUGGUCCCCUCUAUCUGCUGUUUUGUCCGGGAAGCCUUUUCUUUUAGCAUCCGGCUUAAAAACCGAAUUCCUGAAGAUCAUAGACCCACUGUCUUCUAUUUGCUCCUAACACAUUUGUAAAGUUUCCCUGUUGAGGUCUUAAAGUGUUUGCAGUCCGUCCUUGGGAUAUUACACCUCCCCCGCCGCCAAAUGUACAGUCAUUUGUCAAAACAUAGUUUAUCCAACAAUUUAUCUUUCCUGCAUGGAUUUGGGAGUCAUGAAGGUCAUGUGACCGUGCCUGUGUGUGGCUCUAGGAGGCCUCCUUCCUGCUUUGCCGUUGUCAGCUAGUUCUUUGUGACUUUGUAAUUUAUUCUUCCGUGUGGAACUUGGAGUUCUGAUUCUGCUGGAGU
Molecule: long non-coding RNA, 896 nt
Organism: Suricata suricatta (meerkat)
Lineage: Eukaryota; Metazoa; Chordata; Mammalia; Carnivora; Herpestidae
Exons: 3
Source: RefSeq, a predicted model, not a curated record